Long non-coding RNA from Octopus sinensis (East Asian common octopus), 169 nucleotides. RefSeq lists it as uncharacterized. Lineage: Eukaryota; Metazoa; Mollusca; Cephalopoda; Octopoda; Octopodidae. The record is from RefSeq and is a predicted model, not a curated record. The transcript is spliced from 3 exons.
CUACAACCACAUGUUAUUUUUUUAUUCUCUCUCUGUUUAUUUCCUCGUGUUCCUUUCUGUUGAAGAGCAUAUUCUCGAAACGUAAAAGACUUUCUCUCCUUCUCGAGCAUCAGACUAAUUCUCCUGCUUGUUGUUUAUACACCUGUCUUGGUCCUUUGUUUUUCUGUAA